RNAcentral lists this ribosomal RNA (512 nucleotides) under uncultured bacterium. RNAcentral's name for it is "partial 16S ribosomal RNA". It matches the Rfam family "Bacterial small subunit ribosomal RNA", at positions 28 to 523 of the family's 1533-position model. The record is from RNAcentral.
GAUGAACGCUGGCGGCAUGCCUAAUACAUGCAAGUCGAACGAGAGGAAGGAAAGCUUGCUUUUCUGAAUCUAGUGGCGAACGGGUGAGUAACACGUAGGUAACCUGCCCAUGUGCCCGGGAUAACUUCUGGAAACGGAUGCUAAAACCGGCUAGGUAGCAGACAAGCAUUGGACUGCUAUUAAAGUGGCUAAGGCCAUGAACAUGGAUGGACCUGCGGUGCAUUAGCUAGUUGGUGAGGUAACGGCCCACCAAGGCGACGAUGCAUAGCCGGCCUGAGAGGGCGGACGGCCACAUUGGGACUGAGACACGGCCCAAACUCCUACGGGAGGCAGCAGUAGGGAAUUUUCGUCAAUGGGGGGAACCCUGAACGAGCAAUGCCGCGUGAGUGAGGAAGGUCUUCGGAUCGUAAAGCUCUGUUGUAAGAGAAAAACGACAUUCAUAGGGAAUGAUGAGUGAGUGAUGGUAUCUUACCAGAAAGUCACGGCUAACUACGUGCCAGCAGCCGCCGUAA